Molecule: ribosomal RNA, 861 nt
Filed under: uncultured bacterium
Lineage: Bacteria
Description: bacterial SSU rRNA
Rfam family: Bacterial small subunit ribosomal RNA
Source: RNAcentral
AGAGUUUGAUCCUGGCUCAGGACGAACGCUGGCGGCGUGCCUAACACAUGCAAGUCGAACGAAGUAUAUUUUCGGAUAUGCUUAGUGGCGGACGGGUGAGUAACGCGUGGACAAUCUGCCCUAUACACAGGAAUAGCCUCGGGAAACUGGGAUUAAAACCGGAUAACACUUUUGAGCCGCAUGGCAUGGAAGUCAAAUUGAUUUAGAGGUAUAGGAUGAGUUCGCGUCUGAUUAGCUAGUUGGUGAGGUAACGGCUCACCAAGGCGACGAUCAGUAGCCGGCCUGAGAGGGUGAACGGCCGCACUGGAACUGAGACACGGUCCAGACUCCUACGGGAGGCAGCAGUGGGGAAUAUUGCACAAUGGAGGAAACUCUGAUGCAGCGACGCCGCGUGAGUGAAGAAGGUCUUCGGAUCGUAAAACUCUGUCCUUGGUGACGAAAAAAUGACGGUAGCCAAGGAGGAAGCCCCGGCUAACUACGUGCCAGCAGCCGCGGUAAUACGUAGGGGGCGAGCGUUGUCCGGAUUUACUGGGCGUAAAGGGUGAGUAGGCGGUAAUAUGUGUCAGAUGUAAAAGGCUAUGGCUUAACCAUAGUUGGCAUUUGAAACUGUAUUACUUGAGUGCAGGAGAGGUAAGUGGAAUUCCUAGUGUAGCGGUGAAAUGCGUAGAUAUUAGGAGGAACACCAGUGGCGAAGGCGACUUACUGGACUGUAACUGACGCUGAGUCACGAAAGCGUGGGUAGCAAACAGGAUUAGAUACCCUGGUAGUCCACGCUGUAAACGAUGAGUGCUAGGUGUUGGGUAGCGAUAUUNNNNGCCNNNNUUAACACAAUAAGCACUCCGCCUGGGGAGUACGGUCGCA